GAUGAACGCUGGCGGCGUGCCUAACACAUGCAAGUCGAGCGAACAGACGAGGAGUUUGCUCCUCUGACGUUAGCCGCGGACGGGUGAGUAACACGUGGAUAACCUACCUAUAAGACUGGGAUAACUUCGGGAAACCGGAGCUAAUACCGGAUAAUAUAUUGAACCGCAGGGUUCAAUAGUGAAAUACGGUUUUGCUGUCACUUAUAGAUGGAUCCGCGCCGCAUUAGCUAGUUGGUAAGGUAACGGCUUACCAAGGCAACGAUGCGUAGCCGACCUGAGAGGGUGAUCGGCCACACUGGAACUGAGACACGGUCCAGACUCCUACGGGAGGCAGCAGUAGGGAAUCUUCCGCAAUGGGCGAAAGCUUGACGGAGCAACGCCGCGUGAGUGAUGAAGGUCUUCGGAUCGUAAAACUCUGUUAUUAGGGAAGAACAAAUGUGUAAGUAACUAUGCACGUCUUGACGGUACCUAAUCAGAAAGCCACGGCUAACUACGUG
RNAcentral lists this ribosomal RNA (497 nucleotides) under uncultured bacterium. RNAcentral describes it as "partial 16S ribosomal RNA". It matches the Rfam family "Bacterial small subunit ribosomal RNA", at positions 28 to 507 of the family's 1533-position model. The record is from RNAcentral.